GACGAACGCUGGCGGCGUGCUUAACACAUGCAAGUCGAACGGAAAGGCCCUGCUUUUGUGGGGUGCUCGAGUGGCGAACGGGUGAGUAACACGUUAGUAACCUGCCCUUGACUUUGGGAUAACUUCAGGAAACUGGGGCUAAUACCGGAUAGGAGCUCCUGCUGCAUGGUGGGGGUUGGAAAGUUUCGGUGGUUGGGGAUGGACUCGCGGCUUAUCAGCUUGUUGGUGGGGUAGUGGCUUACCAAGGCUUUGACGGGUAGCCGGCCUGAGAGGGUGACCGGCCACAUUGGGACUGAGAUACGGCCCAGACUCCUACGGGAGGCAGCAGUGGGGAAUAUUGCACAAUGGGCGGAAGCCUGAUGCAGCAACGCCGCGUGCGGGAUGACGGCCUUCGGGUUGUAAACCGCUUUCGCCUGUGACGAAGCGUGAGUGACGGUAAUGGGUAAAGAAGCACCGGCUAACUACGUG
RNAcentral lists this ribosomal RNA (468 nucleotides) under uncultured bacterium. RNAcentral describes it as "partial 16S ribosomal RNA". It matches the Rfam family "Bacterial small subunit ribosomal RNA", at positions 28 to 507 of the family's 1533-position model. The record is from RNAcentral.